This 211-nucleotide ribosomal RNA is filed under the name Escherichia coli. Its description in RNAcentral is "partial 23S ribosomal RNA". It matches the Rfam family "Bacterial large subunit ribosomal RNA", at positions 1322 to 1537 of the family's 2925-position model. The record is from RNAcentral. Lineage: Bacteria; Pseudomonadati; Pseudomonadota; Gammaproteobacteria; Enterobacterales; Enterobacteriaceae.
UGAAAGGCCCCCUCGCCGUAAGCCCAAGGUUUCCUACGCAACGUUCAUCGGCGUAGGGUGAGUCGGCCCCUAAGGCGAGGCAGAAAUGCGUAGCUGAUGGGAAGCAGGUCAAUAUUCCUGCACCAUUGUUAAAUGCGAUGGGGGGACGGAUCGCGGAAGGUUGUCCGGGUGUUGGAAGUCCCGGUCGCUGCAUUGGAGAAGGCGCUUAGGC